UUUACUGAUAGAAAGUCUGAGUAACUUUUUGUCUUUCUUCCUAUGAAGUGCCGCAGAAAGGUCAUGUCACCUACCUUCAUCAGUCCUGGAAAACAGUAAGGGAAAGACCCUCAGACAUGUCAUAACAGGAUAAAGGCUGCAGACUCACCAAGGAUCCAGAUGAUUACUGGCAAUUUGGUGGAGGAUUUUUCUUUAGCUGCUAUCACUUCAGGUCAAACCGUUCUUGUCUGUCAGUCAUGUAAUGGAAAUUUAUGGGGCCCACCUCGAAGAGCAUGCACAGAGAAGUCCAAAUUAAUCAUGAUUUAAUGACUCGUAAAUUACGGCUACAGGAUCGUACAGAGAGCAGACAAGAAGUGAAGAGGGAAAAAGAGGAAGCGAUGGCAUCAGAACGGACCUCGAGCUGGGACUCUACUAGA
Pimephales promelas (fathead minnow) is the source of this 416-nucleotide non-coding RNA. Lineage: Eukaryota; Metazoa; Chordata; Actinopteri; Cypriniformes; Leuciscidae. The record is from RefSeq and is a predicted model, not a curated record.